AUCAUUCCAGCACAAGCGAGCAGCACCAGCGGCGGUUGCUCGAACCAGAGGCAGACGGGUGGCUGGAGUGGCUGGCGGUGGCUCCGCGGCUCUCCGGUGUGACGACGACAACACAAGCCACACGGCAGCGCGGGCCUCGCAUCCUCAUGCUGGAGUGCCAGCGACGGCUCCGCGGCUUCGGCUCGACGGCGACACAAGCCGCAGACCUCGCAUCCUUGUGUUUGGUUGGAGUGGCCGGCGGCGGCGCGGCUGUCGGGCGCCGCCGCGACGACGACAGAAGGCACGCAAGCCGCAGAGGACGCGACGAUACAAUCCUUGCGUUUCAUUCUCCGAUCCUGUCCAAAUUUCUGUAAUUUUGGAUUGGAUGGACUCAAUGCAUGUUUAUAUUCUGAUAUAUGUCAAAUUUCAGUAAUUUUUGUUGUUC
Molecule: small RNA, 424 nt
Filed under: Oryza sativa Japonica Group (Japanese rice)
Lineage: Eukaryota; Viridiplantae; Streptophyta; Magnoliopsida; Poales; Poaceae
Description: sRNA Os05g0214800
Source: RNAcentral